Molecule: ribosomal RNA, 253 nt
Filed under: uncultured bacterium
Lineage: Bacteria
Description: partial 16S ribosomal RNA
Rfam family: Bacterial small subunit ribosomal RNA
Source: RNAcentral
UACAGAGGGUGCAAACGUUGCUCGGAAUCAUUGGGCGUAAAGCGCACGUAGGCGGUUCGUUAUGUCGGAUGUGAAAGCCCUUGGCUUAACCGAGGAAGUGCAUCCGAAACUGGCGAGCUAGAGUACUAAAGAGGAUCGCGGAAUUCCCGGUGUAGAGGUGAAAUUCGUAGAUAUCGGGAGGAACACCGGUGGCGAAGGCGGCGAUCUGGGUAGAUACUGACGCUGAGGUGCGAAAGCGUGGGGAGCAAACAGG